This 460-nucleotide ribosomal RNA is filed under the name uncultured bacterium. Its description in RNAcentral is "partial 16S ribosomal RNA". It matches the Rfam family "Bacterial small subunit ribosomal RNA", at positions 338 to 795 of the family's 1533-position model. The record is from RNAcentral.
CCUACGGGUGGCAGCAGUGAGGAAUAUUGGUCAAUGGGCGAGAGCCUGAACCAGCCAAGUCGCGUGAGGGAAGACGGUCCUAUGGAUUGUAAACCUCUUUUGCCGGGGAGCAAAAAGCGGUACGUGUACCGCAUCGAGAGUACCCGGAGAAAAAGCAUCGGCUAACUCCGUGCCAGCAGCCGCGGUAAUACGUAGGGGGCAAGCGUUAUCCGGAUUUACUGGGUGUAAAGGGAGCGUAGACGGCAGUGCAAGUCCGGAGUGAAAGCCCGGGGCUCAACCCUGGGACUGCUCUGGAAACUGUAAAGCUGGAGUGCGGGAGGGGCAGGCGGAAGUCCUGGUGUAGCGGUGAAAUGCGUAGAUAUCAGGAGGAACACCGGCGGCGAAGGCGGCCUGCUGGACCGUAACUGACGUUGAGGCUCGAAAGCGUGGGGAGCAAACAGGAUUAGAUACCCCAGUAGUC